AUGAGCAGAGCACUUAGGCAAAAUUACACAUUAUUCAACCUGUCCUACAUUUCAGGCUUAUUUGAACUUGGCUUCACUUAUUUGAACCAUGUCGAAGAACAGAAAAUUCAGGAAUCAGAGAAAAGCGGGGAUUUCAUCUUCGGAUUACGGGAGAGGCCCAGCCCUAAAACAAAUCUUGUACUAAUGUCAAGGCUAAGGGAGCUGGCACAGUUUUCAACAGUCAUGUUUCCUUGGCAGUUUCAGAUGGUGUUGUUUACUGAUUGUUACUUGUAUUUGCAUCACUUCCUGUCCUAAACAGAUUUAUUUAUGCUGUAGAAUGUCCAGAAGAAGUUGUUGCCUUCUAUCCUAAUGAUGGAUGAAUUUAAUUUCAAUGAUGCUUGUAUCUUGCUUCUCCCUUUAGUUGCCCUAUCCUAGGAAACCAUUAUGUGAGGUCAUUUCUAAAUCAAAUUUCCGUGAAUAAAUGUAAUGCAACCCUGGUUGCUGUCUGUGUAGUGAUAAUUACAUGCUCAUUGUCUUUUCAGUAGAGUGUCUAUUUGUUCCAGUGCCUUGAAUGGAUGUCUACUAAAUGAACAGAGUUCCUAUGGUUAUCAAAAUGCAAUUUACCUUUGCAGAAACAAGAAAAAUUAAUGUUUGUAAUAUUUACUUUCAUACACAUGUAACUGUUCUCUUUUCAUUCCAGCCAUUGUAUCUGUUUGAUCAGUCAGUACCAAAAGAAAACACAUGUGUUCAGAGUUACCAACUUUAUAAUAGAACUUGCCUUGAAAAUGGCUACAGUGUUGGAUAAUGCUUCAAUAUAGGACAUGGUUUUAAAGAGCAUCUGUUUUUUUCUCUUUGGAGCAGGUCACCUACAACAUUUUGAAAUUGAUAGAAUUCUUAGAGGCACAGUAUUACAUACUCAGGACUUGUUGCUCUUCAGUUUGCCAUUUUCCAGCACAUUGUUGUAAUAGUAUCUCCAUCUGUGACUAUUCCUUGUAUUUGCUCCCAGCCUGUAUUGCCUAGAAUCUUCUGUGUUGAGGAGAUAUGUGAAGAAAUCAAUCACUAUUUUUCUGUGCCAUUUUCUUAUUCUUAAUUGGUUGCUUUGCUUCAUGAUGAUGCACCUACUGAUCAUUUUCAAGGCUUUCUGCUUCAUAUAUAUAUAUACAUGUAUCAUAUGUCUUGUUAAUUUAGUAAUAUGCCUUAAUCCUUUAAAAGUCUCUAACAACUUGCAUCUUAUGGAUAAGUAUAUGGUAUAAAGUCCCAUGUUAAAUUUUCAAUUUUCUGGAGGAGAGUUAAUUCAUUUUUUUAAACUUCACCAUACUGCCUUUUUUUCUUGCCUUUUUUCUUGCCUUAUUACUUCUAUCCAGUAGUAAACAGACCUUAGUGAUCCUUAGUUUAUGCCUCAGUGCUAUUAAGUGGUAGCAGGUUUCCUCUUAAACAGGUUCCUUAGUUUUUCAAAAUCUUAUUUUGUGUUUCCAUAACAGACGGAGACCAUUUUAUCCCCAAGGAUGUUGAAAUUAAUGUUGUCACUGUUUCUCAUCUGUCACAUAUUUUAUAAUUACUACUUGAACCAGCUACUCUGUAUUACUUAGGGCUUAACAGAGAAUAAUCCCUCAUUUUGUGUACUCUGGAAUUAGCUGUUCCAAGAGCAUUUGUUUGAGAAAUCACUUCUUUAAACCUUGUUCCAUUUAGCGGAAUGAGAUACAUUGUAAAUAUGUUUACACUGUGCUAAGAAGUACAUCUUUGUAUAAAUAAGUGUUGUGAGAUGUUGAAAUGCCGAUUAUUAAUUUUGUUUGGAGAAGUGAUUCACUUGUGUCACUGUAUACAUACAGCUGUAUAUACAUUUUGUGUACAUGUUUGUAUGUCAUUUUGUUGUUACUUAAAAAAUGGAAUGUGCUGUCAUUUGUCUGACAUCGUAGGAAAGAGAUGACACCAGUCAGAGGAAGCUACACACUUCGUUUCGCUUACAAAAUACCUUGAUGGAAACACAUAAAACGCCUUCUUUGCCCCAGAAGUCAUUCGGUUCCCUCUCUGCCCGCUGGAACCUGUGCCCCCGGCGGCGGGCCCGGCUCAGCACCGCGGACAGCACCGGGGGGACCGGGGCGAGAUGGGCAGGCUGCUGGGUGCCCCGGGGGCUGGCUGUGCUGGAGGUGAGCUAGGCAGAGCACAGCGAGAGGAAGGACUCGGGAGGCUAUGCUGCUGCUUGUUCCUGGCGAAACCAGACGGUGGGUGUGUACAAUUGCACUCGCACCCCUUACAUGCAGGCAUGAGGUUAGCAAACUGUGACCAAGAAUAGUUUAUCUCUGGGAAUUUUCUCAGACAUUUCCUUAUCUAAGAGGUGGUAGCCAGCUCUGCAAUAACCAGAUGAAAAUAUUGGCUGUUUAUGUGGUGUUUGACAUCAGCUGCUCCCAUCUUCCUUCCAUGCAAAUUUUUCCAACUUUGUUUUUAGGUAACAGUUAGUAGCCAUUGCCACUACAUAUUAAAGUUUCUUCCUGAUUGCUGUUUUCUCUUUUUGAUUUCAGUCAGUAACAGUGUUUUGGAAUGUGUGGCUGAAAGCAGCCUUUUCACUUUCACUAAAUAACCAGAUAUUCUCUUGCUCCAAUUUGAGUCAUGAAUAAGACACAAAGAUUAAAAUGUUAGCUCCACUGAAGUUAAUACCACACAAUUAGUAUUGAUCUCAAGAGGUCUACAGUUUCACUUUAAUAAGCCACCAAAAGUUUAUAUUUAUAUAAAAUAGCAGAAAGUAUAGAGACAAUACGUACAUAUUUUUGUCCAUUCACAUUUAAAUAUGCAAUCAGCCAGCAGGAAGGAGAAAAUUAAUAUAUUCUCAAUUCACAGCAUGAAAAUACUCCCACUUGCAAAUGCAGAAGUCAAAUAUACAUCAGAUGCCUUUGUCUGCUUAUAAUGAAACCAAUUAACAUUUAAAAGCUUGUAACAAGUUGUUUCAGUCACCAUGUGUGCUCUGUACUUUUCAAGCUUACUUUCUCAUCAGCUUCACCUUAUGAAUGAAGUGGUCUUGUGGUUGCAAUUUCUUACUUUUUUAACCUCCAUUUACUUGUAACCUUAUAGAACUGCACAAAAUCUUACUAGAAAUUUGACUGAGUGUGUAUUGACAUUCAAAACAUUCUGUGGAAUUUAAGGGGAAACAAUGCAACAAUUUAUUAUUAUUAUUAUUUAAAGCCUGUGUUCAUUUGUUUUCCAUGUUAUUUUCAGAGACAAACCCUGGUUGUUAUGGACUUUUUCUGUAACCACCUCUCCCAUCAAGACAGCUGGGACAGCAGCACAGAACAGCUGCACAGUUAGCAUCAGAUUAGAAAUAACAGUACAUUUUUUACUUCUGAGAGGAGCUAGAUGGGAAUUUUCCAGCCUGUUUCUCUGCCUAGUCCCCCAUCUUGGGGAAUCCUGUGAAACUGGGGCUACCCAAGUUCCAUGGCGCUCUGGCUGGAUGGCAAAUAGAAGGGAAAAGGACUGCUUUUGUGGAAGUAACACUUGCUUUAUCUGUUGGUGAAUGCAUAUCGCUUUUUGUCUUGAUUAGAAAUAAAAGCCUUUUUCUUUCUUUCAGAAGAUGUAAACUUUUCAUGGAAGGGGGAGUUUUCUUGGCUGUAUAUUUGAGUUGUUUCAGGUUUUGCAUGAAUUUCUCUGCAGACUUCUGUUAUAUAUAUGUUGUGUUGAUUUCAGUGAACAUGUGGGAUUGAAAGCUGCAUCUGAUCCUGGUGUCAUAAUCCUCAUUGUCAGUGCUCUUGGUGUUCUAGGCUGAAAAUAUGUUAGUGUAAAGCUAAGCGAUUAGAAUGCUUACGUGCAUAUUUUUACAUGAUUUUUUUAAAUAAUGAAAAGAAUAUUAGAUUCACUCAAAAAGAUUAAAAUAUUAGAAAAACUCCUGCUAAUUAAACCAGAAAUAAUGUAGCACAGAAAAAUGUCUGCAACAUGAAGUAACUAGUCAGAAAUUUUUGUGGAAGAAACGUCAAUAUGAUUAAUGAAAUACUACAAGAGGAAUAGAAGUAGAAGAAAUGGAGAUUUAGAAAUAAAUCCAGACAACUGGCAAACACCUGGGAAGUCAAAUCUAUGCUGAAAGUAACAGGAAAAUGAUUAGCUUUAUUUUCCACUGUCAAACCAGGCUGGUUAUCUGGGAAUUUUUAGAACUGGUAUCCAACUUUAGAGUGCAAAAUUUUGUGUAUGCUCAUGUAAAGCACAUUUAGGUAGCUAAGGUCCCUAAUGGCUGACAAAGCUAUGAGGAAGCAUGUUCUCCUGACCAACAUUUUGGACGUGGCGAGGGGGUUCCCCUGCACGAGUGCCUGAUGCAACACCAAGAAGUUGCUCCCAUCUGUAACAUUGGGAAAUGGCAACUUUCCUGUGUAAAAAACGGCAACUUUCCUAUGUAAAGAACGGCUUUACAACCUUCCUGUGACUUUGAGAGCCAAGGCUGAAAAGUUGUGUGCUCUUCUUUCACAGAAGGCAGAAUGUGACUUGAUGGGAAUGUGCACAGAUGCGGGUGUGACUUCUGCGUGGUGCAUGAGGCACGGGGUUAAGGGGUUAAACAUUUGCCCUUAAAUAUUAUGGUUGACCUUUUCUUCGUAUUCAGCCAGCAUGCUGGGUGAGUGGUGGGAAUGUGAUGAGGUAGCUGUGAUGAGGUAGCUGUGGUAGGCUGAGGGGCACCAAGUCAGAAAAAGAAAAAAAAAGAAAAGAAAAAAGAUCAGAAAAAAAAAAAUAGAUAAAAAGCUUAGGAAAGGAUAAAA
This is a long non-coding RNA of Cairina moschata (Muscovy duck), 4709 nucleotides long. The record is from Ensembl. NCBI's taxonomy places the organism in Eukaryota, Metazoa, Chordata, Aves, Anseriformes, Anatidae.